GCACAAGCGGUGAUCAUGUUGUUUAAUUCGAUGAUACGACGAAGAAACCUUUACCAGGUCUUGACAUCCCCUGCAAAGCUAUAGAGAUAUAGUGGAGGUUAUCAGGGAGACAGGUGGUGCAUGGUUGUCGUCAGCUCGUGUCGUGAGAUGUUGGGUUAAGUCCCGCAACGAGCGCAACCCUUAUUGCUAGUUACCAUCAUUGAGUUGGGGACUCUAGCGAGACUGCCAGUGAUAAACUGGAGGAAGUGGGGAUGACGUCAAGUCCUCAUGGCCCUUAUGUCCAGGGCUACACACGUGCUACAAUGGCCGGUACAAAGGGCAGCAAAGCCGCGAGGUGGAGCCAAUCCCAGAAAGCCGGUCUCAGUUCGGAUUGGAGUCUGCAACUCGACUCCAUGAAGUUGGAAUCGCUAGUAAUCGCGGAUCAGCAUGCCGCGGUGAAUACGUUCCCGGGCCUU
RNAcentral lists this ribosomal RNA (455 nucleotides) under uncultured Desulfuromonas sp. RNAcentral describes it as "bacterial SSU rRNA". It matches the Rfam family "Bacterial small subunit ribosomal RNA", at positions 923 to 1382 of the family's 1533-position model. Lineage: Bacteria; Pseudomonadati; Thermodesulfobacteriota; Desulfuromonadia; Desulfuromonadales; Desulfuromonadaceae. The record is from RNAcentral.